Molecule: ribosomal RNA, 478 nt
Filed under: uncultured bacterium
Lineage: Bacteria
Description: partial 16S ribosomal RNA
Rfam family: Bacterial small subunit ribosomal RNA
Source: RNAcentral
GACGAACGCUGGCGGCGUGCUUAACACAUGCAAGUCGAACGGUAAGGCCCUUCGGGGUACACGAGUGGCGAACGGGUGAGUAACACGUGGGUGAUCUGCCCUGCACUUCGGGAUAAGCCUGGGAAACUGGGUCUAAUACCGGAUAGGACCACUGCCUGCAUGGGUGGUGGUGGAAAGCUUUUGCGGUGUGGGAUGGGCCCGCGGCCUAUCAGCUUGUUGGUGGGGUGAUGGCCUACCAAGGGGACGACGGGUAGCCGGCCUGAGAGGGUGACCGGCCACACGGGGACUGGGAUACGGCCCAGACUCCUACGGGAGGCAGCAGUGGGGAAUAUUGCACAAUGGGCGCAAGCCUGAUGCAGCGACGCUGCGUGAGGGAUGACGGCCUUCGGGUUGUAAACCUCUUUCAGCACCGACGAAGCGCAAGUGACGGUAGGUGCAGAAGAAGGACCGGCCAACUACGUGCCAGCCGCCGCCGUAA